UCAUCCCGACUUACCAACCCGAUGCAAACUGCGAAUACCGGAGAAUGUUAUCACGGGAGACACACGGCGGGUGCUAACGUCCGUCGUGAAGAGGGAAACAACCCAGACCGCCAGCUAAGGUCCCAAAGUCAUGGUUAAGUGGGAAACGAUGUGGGAAGGCCCAGACAGCCAGGAUGUUGGCUUAGAAGCAGCCAUCAUUUAAAGAAAGCGUAAUAGCUCACUGGUCGAGUCGGCCUGCGCGGAAGAUGUAACGGGGCUAAACCAUGCACCGAAGCUGCGGCAGCGA
Molecule: ribosomal RNA, 286 nt
Filed under: Salmonella enterica subsp. enterica serovar Agona str. 432613
Lineage: Bacteria; Pseudomonadati; Pseudomonadota; Gammaproteobacteria; Enterobacterales; Enterobacteriaceae
Description: partial 23S ribosomal RNA
Rfam family: Bacterial large subunit ribosomal RNA
Source: RNAcentral